UUUACUAAUUGCCAAAUAUAUAUAUAUAUAUAUAUAUCAACCAUUAGACGUAAUCAUUGGUGCUUUCUAGGUAAGAUGUGUCAUGAUCAUGUUUCUAGGUGUAUAGCGAGCAAGCAAUCUUACAUUAUUAUAAUCAGAAAGAUGUUAGGUUUUUGGAAGAAUUUGAGCAAUUUUAAUGGAAGUUGAAAUGGGAAUGUAAAAUGUUUGUGUUAUAAUAUAUUCAAGUUAAAAUUUUAAUAAGAAGAAUAUUGAUGCAAGCCAUGCCAAGAGAGUAAUUCUGUGUAGAGGUGAGAAAUUUGGAUUCACACCGGACAUUUUGUUGAACUCAGAAAAACAAAGUUGUAUGUAUUUUGUUAAAAAAAUUGAAACACCUUUUAUUGCGAAUGUAUGUAAGAGUACAAAUGCAUGGAAAAAGAAAAGGGAUCAGUUUGUACAAAAUAGAAUCUAUAGAACAAUUAUAAGAGCUCUUCGAAGUCGAAGCACAAAGAGAAACACGUAAUCUAAUGUGGGACCAAACAUUUUAGAAGUCUCUCUCCAAACCUCUAAACACUGUUAUUCCUCUCGUUCCAAAGAUCGCAGAAAAAACCGGUCCUUUUCAUGUGAAGGCGGAUGGUGGAGGAAAUUUUUGAUCAUAAUCUAUUCACUAUAUGGCUUGGCCAUGGUUCUUUAAGAUAUGAACAGUGACCUACUGCGACAUGUUAAAUUGUCAGUCCAUGAGUUACUUUACCCAAAUAAAAACUGGAAAAGCUUUUUUUUACUAGUAGUUUUCAUGUUGCCAGAUAUGUGAAGUUACUUUUUCAUGAACUUAGAACUUAUAAUCAAUGAUAAUUGGUUACUCACGAGUAUUCUUCCUGACUCUGAAUCUGAUAAAUAUCUUCUUGGCUUGGCCAGAUAUACCCACCAAUUAAUGUCCUCCCUUCAUUGUCUCGUCUCAUGAAGGUAAUUUUGUUCCGUAUUGUUUCAUGAUAUUUUAGAAGCAUAGACUAAUCCAUAAUGUGUACUUAAAGAACAUCCUCUAUGACUGCAGAGUGCCAUUGGUGAGGGAAUGACCCGUAGGGAUCAUGCUGAUGUAUCCAACCAGGUAAGCUUUCUUUGUUAUAGUUUUACAGGUCCAUCUUUGAGCCAGCGAUAGAAGUUAUUUGUCUUACAAAUCUAUGAUCCCGCAAACCUGCAGCUCUAUGCAAAUUAUGCAAUUGGGAAGGAUGUUCAGGCCAUGAAAGCCGUGGUUGGAGAAGAAGCACUCUCUUCUGAGGAUCUGGUAUAUUAUAUUAUAUCUUUCUUUCAUUUUCCAUGCAAAUUGUUUUACUUGAAAAAUUCCAUCCUGAUAACAACAAACUAACACAACUUUCUGAACCAGCUGUAUUUGGAGUUUUUGGACAAAUUUGAGAGGAAGUUUGUCACUCAAGGAGCUUACGAUACUCGAAACAUUUUCCAAUCACUUGACCUGGCAUGGACACUGCUUCGUAUUUUCCCUCGUGAACUUCUGCAUCGUAUACCUGCAAAGACUCUUGAUCUGUUUUACAGCCGAGAAUCUGCAAAUUGAAGAACCAAAGCUCUUAUAUACCCUUAAGAGGCCGCGUAGAUAGAUCAUAAUGAGCUUGGAG
RNAcentral lists this long non-coding RNA (1604 nucleotides) under Cucumis sativus (cucumber). RNAcentral describes it as "long non-coding RNA (CSAT_LNC002592)". Lineage: Eukaryota; Viridiplantae; Streptophyta; Magnoliopsida; Cucurbitales; Cucurbitaceae. The record is from RNAcentral.